GCUGCAAAGGCACUUUAAGGCCUUAUGGUGGCAAGGCCAGUGUUCCAGCCAAGGAUGCUCAAGCUUUGCUUUGUUUAGCUCAAUGGCUUUCCCUGGAGACAGCAGCAUUAUGGGAAAGUCUGUUUAUGCGUCACAUAUGGCUGCAAGAGGAUGAAAAAGAGACCUGCUGGUUGCCUAAAGAGAAGGAAGGUACUCCAGAAGAUGCGGCCCUGUCGGUCCCCAGCUGUGCAUGUGAGUGGGUAAAGAUGGAACAGGUCGAAAGCAAGCUCUGAGCUUGCCUAGGAUCUGGCUGGCAAAGGGAAGGUGGCAUCCAAGGACCCCGGGAAGACAGAGUACCUUCUGAAUGCUCAGUUACCAGGGUGUGAGAGUGGCAGGGUGUGCUGUACUGUAUGGAGUGCUCUGCUUUGACCUCCUUGCACCAUGAAGUCUCCAUGUCUCCUGGCUCCCUAUCCUGUAACAGCUGUUACCCACUGGCACCACCUACAUUUUAAACCAGCUGGAGACAGAGUUCUACGUGAUAAGCCUGUUAUAUUUGCAGAGUAAGCAGGAACUCAUAAUGGCUUGGCCCCCUAACAACUCAGGGACCGGCCUCUGACCAGCCACAGCAGUGAGCACUGGCAAAGCAGGGGAAAAUAUAAUUAAACGAGCCUUUGUCGAAACUCCCUCUAAAUCAGCCUUUUAAAUGUGCUCAGUUUAAGAGUCCCAAAGUGCCAAUUCAAUUGCACUGGCCUCUAAGAGCCACAGAAACCCACAGGAUAGCUAUAGCCAAUUAGUCAAGCAAAAGGGGUGUGUGUGUGUGUGUGUGUGUGUGUGUGUGCGUGUUCACAGAAUUGACACACAUGCAGAAAAAGCCCCCUGGAGAAAGGGUACAGUACCCAACCCCCAGGAUAGCUAUAGCCAAUUAGUCAAGCAAAAGGGGUGUGUGUGUGUGUGUGUGUGUGUGUGUUCACAGAAUUGACACACAUGCAGAAAAAGCCCCCUGGAGAAAGGGUACAGUACCCCCCA
RNAcentral lists this long non-coding RNA (1005 nucleotides) under Fukomys damarensis (Damara mole-rat). Its description in RNAcentral is "lncRNA (ENSFDAG00000031434.1)". The record is from RNAcentral. Lineage: Eukaryota; Metazoa; Chordata; Mammalia; Rodentia; Bathyergidae.